GACGAACGCUGGCGGCGUGGAUUAGGCAUGCAAGUCGAACGGUAUAAACCUUUCGGGGUUUAGAGAGUGGCGAACGGGUGAGUAACACGUAGGUAAUCUACCCUCAAAACGGGGACAACCCAGGGAAACUUGGGCUAAUACCGGAUGCGUGCAAACAAUGUUUUGGCUGUUGUAAUUAUUCACGGAAGUGGAUAGUUAUGAGAGUUUCAGAGCAUAAUUUGCAUAAAAGGUGGCGUAAGCUGCCGUUUGAGGAUGAGCCUGCGUCCUAUUAGUUAGUUGGUGAGGUAAUGGCUUACCAAGGCGAUGAUAGGUAGGCGGCCUUAACGGGUGGUCGCCCACACUGGGAUUGAGAUACGGCCCAGACUCCUACGGGAGGCAGCAGUCGAGAAUAGUCUACAAUGGACGAAAGUCUGAUAGUGCGACGCCGCGUGAACGAAGAAUCCUUUCGGGGUGUAAAGUUCUUUUCUAUGUGAGCAGUUCCUUUUAUAUGAAGAGUAUAGAAGGUGGGAUUUAAGCAUAGGAAU
Molecule: ribosomal RNA, 524 nt
Filed under: uncultured bacterium
Lineage: Bacteria
Description: bacterial SSU rRNA
Rfam family: Bacterial small subunit ribosomal RNA
Source: RNAcentral